CGUAUCUGCUCCGCUCACUUGCGGGACGCGUCGAAAAGCUCGGCUAAGUCCACGCCCAGAGCCCGUGCCAGCCGCGCGAGCGAAUCGAGCGUGGGAUUUGCGUCGCUGACUUCGACUUUGCUUACGAGAGCCUGCCUUGUCUUGGCCUCGGCAGCGAGUUCCUCCUGGGAAUAGCCGCGCUCAAGCCGAAGCCGUCUGACGUUACGUGCCAGAACG
Molecule: unclassified non-coding RNA, 216 nt
Filed under: Hevea brasiliensis (rubber tree)
Lineage: Eukaryota; Viridiplantae; Streptophyta; Magnoliopsida; Malpighiales; Euphorbiaceae
Source: RNAcentral